Molecule: ribosomal RNA, 632 nt
Filed under: Escherichia coli
Lineage: Bacteria; Pseudomonadati; Pseudomonadota; Gammaproteobacteria; Enterobacterales; Enterobacteriaceae
Description: bacterial SSU rRNA
Rfam family: Bacterial small subunit ribosomal RNA
Source: RNAcentral
GUACGGCCGCAAGGUUAAAACUCAAAUGAAUUGACGGGGGCCCGCACAAGCGGUGGAGCAUGUGGUUUAAUUCGAUGCAACGCGAAGAACCUUACCUGGUCUUGACAUCCACGGAAGUUUUCAGAGAUGAGAAUGUGCCUUCGGGAACCGUGAGACAGGUGCUGCAUGGCUGUCGUCAGCUCGUGUUGUGAAAUGUUGGGUUAAGUCCCGCAACGAGCGCAACCCUUAUCCUUUGUUGCCAGCGGUCCGGCCGGGAACUCAAAGGAGACUGCCAGUGAUAAACUGGAGGAAGGUGGGGAUGACGUCAAGUCAUCAUGGCCCUUACGACCAGGGCUACACACGUGCUACAAUGGCGCAUACAAAGAGAAGCGACCUCGCGAGAGCAAGCGGACCUCAUAAAGUGCGUCGUAGUCCGGAUUGGAGUCUGCAACUCGACUCCAUGAAGUCGGAAUCGCUAGUAAUCGUGGAUCAGAAUGCCACGGUGAAUACGUUCCCGGGCCUUGUACACACCGCCCGUCACACCAUGGGAGUGGGUUGCAAAAGAAGUAGGUAGCUUAACCUUCGGGAGGGCGCUUACCACUUUGUGAUUCAUGACUGGGGUGAAGUCGUAACAAGGUAACCGUAGGGGAACC